UUGUCACCUGGAGUUACUUUCAUGUUGAUGAGAAAAACAUUUUGCCGGAUUAAAUACAGGCGCUUCAACAUGCAGAAGCAGUAUAUGAUUGCUGGAUCAACAUUGUAUAAGGACAGAUAAAGAAAAAUGAUUUUAUUUAAUAGAAAACAGUGGCACAGAUCAAGAUUUGCUUUUACAUUUGGAUUAUAGUGAAGAGAGAGUCACGUAGUCUUCUGCCUCUGAGCUGCACCAGCAAGGAGGAGAGAGAGUUUACCCCCAACAGGACAUAGCUGAUGAUGAAUCUGGCCUGUCAUAGAAAGGAAGGAAGGCAAGGAGACGAUGUAGGCCCUCUUCACCAGUCCCACAUGAGCGACCACAGUCACUCCCACAUGACUUUAUCAUUCUGUAGACAUUUGUUAUCAUUUCAUAGACAUUGCUGCCACAGAGAUUUACAUUCUCCAGAGGGAGGUGUGUGCAGGAGCACAGCAGAAGUCAGUGACCUGCCACCAGACUUCCAAGGAGCUGCUCCUUUACUACACUACACUGUUCACCAGCUGAAAGACGAGCUGUCCGUCUUUCAACACGUUUGCAGCUAAAAUAGUGACUCAUUACGUGAACAUAAAUGUUAACUUGCCCGACACAGAUGUAAGUUGUUGCAUUAAAGGAAGAAAUAUACUUGCUCUUGAGAGUUAGAUGAAGAGGCCAAUGUUACGCUCGUGUGUGUGUUAAGUGCAGUGUCUAGCUCGGUGACAGCAUAGAUUGAAAGCAAGGAGAAACAGCAAUGACCAUUUUAAAUGUCUGGUGUGAAAAGAGGCCUGUUGGAUUGCUUUGGUUCAAAUAAAGUUUAAAUGAAAUCUUA
Long non-coding RNA from Seriola aureovittata, 838 nucleotides. RefSeq lists it as uncharacterized. The record is from RefSeq and is a predicted model, not a curated record. The transcript is spliced from 2 exons. Lineage: Eukaryota; Metazoa; Chordata; Actinopteri; Carangiformes; Carangidae.